RNAcentral lists this ribosomal RNA (833 nucleotides) under uncultured eukaryote. RNAcentral's name for it is "bacterial SSU rRNA". It matches the Rfam family "Eukaryotic small subunit ribosomal RNA", at positions 636 to 1426 of the family's 1831-position model. The record is from RNAcentral.
CGGGGUUCAACUGGCUUGUCCGCGGGACGUCCUGCCGGUGGGCUUAGCCCGCAAGGGCGGCCCAACUUCCAUCCCAUCGCGGUGCUCUUCACUGAGUGUCGAGGUGGGCCGGCACGUUCACUUUGAACAAAUUUUCCCGCUUAAAGCAGGCUAAAACUUCGCCUGAAUACUGGGGUGUGGAAAAAUGGAAUAAGACCUCGGUUCUAUUUUGCUGGUUUUCGGAACCCCGAAGUAAAGAAUAAAAAUAACUGAAGGGGGCCUUCAUAUUGCAACUUUAUAACGUGAAAUUCUUGGAUCGUCGCAAGACGGACAGAAGCGAACUCAUUUGGCAAAAACUCUUUCUUUGAUCACAAACUUACGUUAUAGGUUCAAGAGCAAUUUCAUGCCGACCUACUUCUCUGCUAUAACGACUGCGGCUAGCGAUCCGUCUAACCUCCUCACAAUGACUCAAGGGGGCCCUUCCCGGAUACCAAAACUUUUGGGCUCCGGGGGAAAUAUGGUUGCAAAGUUGAUCCUGAGGGGAUCCGAGAAAAGCACCCCUCCCAGAGCGGAGCGUGCGCCCCCAUUUGCUCAACACGGGAAACCUCACCAGCCCCGGACACCGGAAGGAAAACAAGAGAGAGCUCUUUUAAGACACGGUGGGUGGAGGUGCGUGACCGUUCUUUGUGGGUUGAGAUUUUUGUAAGGUUAAUUCCGAUACAAAAGGAGACUAUCGCCAGCUAUCUUGGCGUAUUUUCGACAUCUAAGAGGUUCGUUGUCCCGGCCUUGCCAUUGUGGGCGGGCGGGAUUUUUUCCGUCGGCGUACUAUCAAUUGUUUUUAGAGGGACAGAAGG